This 521-nucleotide ribosomal RNA is filed under the name uncultured Diversispora. RNAcentral's name for it is "SSU rRNA". It matches the Rfam family "Eukaryotic small subunit ribosomal RNA", at positions 572 to 1092 of the family's 1831-position model. Lineage: Eukaryota; Fungi; Glomeromycota; Glomeromycetes; Diversisporales; Diversisporaceae. The record is from RNAcentral.
AGCCGCGGUAAUUCCAGCUCCAAUAGCGUAUAUUAAAGUUGUUGCAGUUAAAAAGCUCGUAGUUGAACUUCGGGGUCUACCCAUUGGUCAGGCUUAAUUGUCUGCACUGGUGAGAUGGAUCUCUACCUUCUGAGGAACUUUCAUGCCAUUUAUUUAGUGUGAUUGGAAAUCAGGACUGUUACUUUGAAAAAAUUAGAGUGUUUAAAGCAGACUAUCGUCUGAAUACAUUAGCAUGGAAUAAUGAAAUAGGACGGACUGAUUCUAUUUCGUUGGUUUCUAGGAUCACCGUAAUGAUUAAUAGGGAUAGUUGGGGGCAUUAGUAUUCAAUUGUCAGAGGUGAAAUUCUUGGAUUUAUUGAAGACUAACUACUGCGAAAGCAUUUGCCAAGGAUGUUUUCAUUAAUCAAGAACGAAAGUUAGGGGAUCGAAGACGAUCAGAUACCGUCGUAGUCUUAACCAUAAACUAUGCCGACUAGGGAUCGGACGAAGUUAAUUUUAUAAUGACGCGUUCGGCACCUUACG